CACAUGCAAGUCGAGGGGCAGCGGGAUGUAGCAAUACAUUGCCGGCGACCGGCGGAUGGGUGCGUAACGCGUAUGCAACCUACCUUAUACAGGGGAAUAACCUUUCGAAAGGGAGACUAACACCCCAUAGUAUUGAUUUAAGGCAUCUUAGAUUAAUUAAAUAUUUAUAGGUAUAAGAUGGGCAUGCGUAUGAUUAGCUAGUUGGUAAGGUAACGGCUUACCAAGGCGACGAUCAUUAGGGGUUCUGAGAGGAAGGUCCCCCACACUGGUACUGAGACACGGACCAGACUCCUACGGGAGGCAGCAGUGAGGAAUAUUGGUCAAUGGGCGCAAGCCUGAACCAGCCAUGCCGCGUGCAGGAAAAGACGGCCUUAUGGGUUGUAAACUGCUUUUACAUAAGACUAACCGUAUAUUUGCGAAUAUACCUGAAUGUAUUAUGAGAAUAAGGAUCGGCUAACUCCGUGCCAGCAGCCGC
RNAcentral lists this ribosomal RNA (475 nucleotides) under uncultured bacterium. RNAcentral describes it as "bacterial SSU rRNA". It matches the Rfam family "Bacterial small subunit ribosomal RNA", at positions 52 to 518 of the family's 1533-position model. The record is from RNAcentral.